UGUAUGUAUGAAUAUAUAUAUAUAUAGAGAGAGAGGGUCAGAGAAUUCGGCAGGAACGCAGGAACUCUUUCCUGCGUCUCACGCUCGACCUAAAAGUGGUACCUGCCAACCUGUGACUUCGUCCUCCCUCCUUCCCUCAUCACCCCUCUCACCUAUUUUACCUACCUACUUCAAUUCUUUUGUUUCUUCUUUUUAACAGCCUCGAGAGAUAUGAUCGGUACCAGCAGCCUAACAUUUACAACCACUGACAAAGACAGACAGAUGAUGGUAGAGACAUCAAAAAAAUCUUUAGAUAUAAAAUAUAUUUCUUUUUUUAUUAUUAUCUUUGUUUAUUUUAUUUUAUUUUGUUUAAUAAUAAAGUAAUACAUAUACAGAUAUAACGCAUACGUUACACAAAGAAACAUUUAUAUUUUUCAAUGUUACCAAUUCUCUUAUAAAAUGUAAGAUCAGUCGUGUUCAUCUUGGCACUGAACGAUGUAAGAAGAACUUUCCAUUUUAAACGAGAUACGUACAUAAAUACAUAUGUAUGUACAUCGUAAUCUAUCUUCUUAUGUACCUUACCGUACCUAUCGUCCUACAUCUUGUCUUCUUCCGUUGUUUUCCGUAAAAAAAAGGCGUAUGAACGUUUCCCGCGGGACUUGGAUCCAGAAUACACGUCAUGCGAACAUUCCCUUUGCAAAAUAAAUUUUCUUUCCUUGAGAAACGACGAAGUAGAAGGUUAUUUCGUGUAGGAGAGUCUAACCUUUUUUUAAAUUUAACUACAACAGCGCGACGAUUUACUACGUCUGGCAUAACUAUUUCAAGUUUCUCUCUCUACAAGAGAACCAACCAAUCUCUCGUCCCCUCUCUCUCUCUCUCUUUCUCUCUCUCUCACUUCCCUCCCUCCGAGUCUGCCACCACUCAUCACCAUUUACCCCCUACCUUUUCGAUAAGGAUACAUAUAUAUAUAUCACGUCUCCAUCUCCAUUGUUUUUAGUUUACCGCAUUAUUCGAUUGAUUAUAUCCGUAAUAGAAGUAAACAAUUUAAGAAGAAGGAUGGGCAAUAGGUCGUAACAUACGUACAACUAAACUU
Vespa velutina is the source of this 1072-nucleotide long non-coding RNA. RefSeq lists it as uncharacterized. Lineage: Eukaryota; Metazoa; Arthropoda; Insecta; Hymenoptera; Vespidae. The transcript has 2 exons. The record is from RefSeq and is a predicted model, not a curated record.